This 387-nucleotide ribosomal RNA is filed under the name uncultured bacterium. Its description in RNAcentral is "bacterial SSU rRNA". It matches the Rfam family "Bacterial small subunit ribosomal RNA", at positions 28 to 417 of the family's 1533-position model. The record is from RNAcentral.
AUUGAACGCUGGCGGCAUGCUUUACACAUGCAAGUCGAACGGCAGCGGGGGCUUCGGCCUGCCGGCGAGUGGCGAACGGGUGAGUAAUGCAUCGGAACGUACCCAGUCAUGGGGGAUAACUACGCGAAAGCGUAGCUAAUACCGCAUACGCCCUGAGGGGGAAAGCGGGGGAUCGCAAGACCUCGCGUGAUUGGAGCGGCCGAUGUCGGAUUAGCUAGUUGGUGGGGUAAAGGCCUACCAAGGCGACGAUCCGUAGCGGGUCUGAGAGGAUGAUCCGCCACACUGGGACUGAGACACGGCCCAGACUCCUACGGGAGGCAGCAGUGGGGGAUUUUGGACAAUGGGGGCAACCCUGAUCCAGCCAUGCCGCGUGAGUGAAGAAGGCCU